GUGUCAGCAGCCGCGGUAAUACGUAGGGUUCGAGCGUUAAUCGGAAUUACUGGGCGUAAAGCGUGCGCAGGCGGUUAUGUAAGACAGGUGUGAAAUCCCCGGGCUUAACCUGGGAACUGCACUUGUGACUGCAUAGCUUGAGUGCGGCAGAGGGGGAUGGAAUUCCGCGUGUAGCAGUGAAAUGCGUAGAUAUGCGGAGGAACACCGAUGGCGAAGGCAAUCCCCUGGGCCUGCACUGACGCUCAUGCACGAAAGCGUGGGGAGCAAACAGGAUUAGAUACCCUGGUAGUCCACGCCCUAAACGAUGUCAACUGGUUGUUGGACGGCUUGCUGUUCAGUAACGUAGCUAACGCGUGAAGUUGACCGCCUGGGGAGUACGGCCGCAAGGUUGAAACUUAAAGAAAUUGACGG
This 411-nucleotide ribosomal RNA is filed under the name uncultured bacterium. RNAcentral describes it as "bacterial SSU rRNA". It matches the Rfam family "Bacterial small subunit ribosomal RNA", at positions 505 to 916 of the family's 1533-position model. The record is from RNAcentral.